CACCACAGCUGGUAGUGCUCUGAAGACAAAAACAGGAUCGUAUAUCACUUUAAAUUCUCGGGCAAGCUCAUUUUCUUUAGUCAUAUUGGUUUCUACAUUAUAAGAUCAUGAGGACCUUUGCUCUCUUAGCGAUUUUUGGUUGCGUCUUUCUCGAUGGAAAUGUCAUAUCUCAAAAAUAUGCAACUGCUGAACCAUUCACUGAAUCAACAUCAAAAGUGAUAGAGAAAACGUGCAGCCCUAACAUGAAAUGUGGCUUCUGGAAUUCGAAGUGCCGCCAAAGAUUACUUAAGCUAUACAUA
This is a long non-coding RNA of Xenia sp. Carnegie-2017, 299 nucleotides long. RefSeq lists it as uncharacterized. The record is from RefSeq and is a predicted model, not a curated record. The transcript has 2 exons. NCBI's taxonomy places the organism in Eukaryota, Metazoa, Cnidaria, Anthozoa, Malacalcyonacea, Xeniidae.